This 253-nucleotide ribosomal RNA is filed under the name uncultured bacterium. Its description in RNAcentral is "partial 16S ribosomal RNA". It matches the Rfam family "Bacterial small subunit ribosomal RNA", at positions 524 to 776 of the family's 1533-position model. The record is from RNAcentral.
UACGUAGGGUGCGAGCGUUAAUCGGAAUUACUGGGUGUAAAGUGUGCGCAGGCGGCUUCGCAAGUCGAGUGUGAAAUCCCCGAGCUUAACUUGGGAAUUGCGCUCGAAACUACGGAGCUGGAGUGUGGCAGAGGAAGGUGGAAUUCCACGUGUAGCGGUGAAAUGCGUAGAGAUGUGGAGGAACACCCGUGGCGAAGGCGGCUCUCUGGAACGCAACUGACGCUGAGACGCGAAAGCGUGGGGAGCAAACAGG